RNAcentral lists this ribosomal RNA (2040 nucleotides) under Balanotaenia bancrofti. RNAcentral describes it as "SSU rRNA". It matches the Rfam family "Eukaryotic small subunit ribosomal RNA". The record is from RNAcentral. Lineage: Eukaryota; Metazoa; Platyhelminthes; Cestoda; Caryophyllidea; Balanotaeniidae.
GUGAUCCUGCCAGUAGUCAUAUGCUUGUCUCAAAGAUUAAGCCAUGCAUGUCUAAGUGCACGCCUCAAUACGGUGAAACCGCGAAUGGCUCAUUAAAUCAGCUAUGGUUUAUUGGAUCGUACCCGUUAAAUGGAUAACUGUAAUAACUCUAGAGCUAAUACAUGCCACGAAGCCCUGACCUGUGGUAAAACACAGGAAUGGGUGCACUUAUUAGAUCAGAAACCAAUCGAGUCUAGUUCUCUAGGCUUGUUGUCGUUCUGGUGACUCUGGAUAAUUGUUACAGAUCGCAGUCGGCCUUGCGUCGGCGACGGGUCCUUCAAAUGUCUGCCCUAUCAACUUUCGAUGGUAGGUGAUCUGCCUACCAUGGUGAUAACGGGUAACGGGGAAUCAGGGUUCGAUUCCGGAGAGGGAGCCUGAGAAACGGCUACCACUUCCAAGGGAGGCAGCAGGCGCGCAAAUUACCCACUCCCGGUACGGGGAGGUGGUGACGAAAAAUACCGAUGCGGGACUCUUUUAGAGGCUCCGUAAUCGGAAUGAGUGAACUCUAAAUCCUUUCACGAGGAUCAAUUGGAGGGCAAGUCUGGUGCCAGCAGCCGCGGUAACUCCAGCUCCAAUAGCGUAUAUUAAAGUUGCUGCAGUUAAAAAGCUCGUAGUUGGAUCUCGGUUGCACUGUUGCCUGCCAUCGCUUGGUAGGAUGAAUGCAGGUUGAUGCGGUUCAUGCUGUGUUGCCUAGCACUCUCUGCUGUUGUGUUGGUUUGGUGGCGGUGUAACCUUUUAGCCAUGUCUGUGGUGUAAUACCCACAGGUGUAGGCAAGUGUCAGGCGGUGCUCUAUUCAUGUAGGGUCCGUCGGCUCGUCUGCAUGCCUUUGGAUGCCCUUAAAAAGGUGUCAGUGGGCGGAUGGCACGUUUACUUUGAACAAAUUUGAGUGCUCAAACCAGGCCGCUGUAGCCUGAAAAGUUUUGCAUGGAAUAAUGGAAUAGGACUUCGGUUCUAUUUUGUUGGUUUUCGGAUCCGAAGUAAUGAUCAAAAGAGACAGGCGGGGACGUUGUAUGGUGCGCUAGAGGUAAAUUCAUGGACCGUAACCAGACAGACUAAAGCGAAAGCAUUCGUCAAGCAUGUUUUCAUUGACCAUGAGCGAAAGUCAGAGGCUCGAAGACGAUCAGAUACCGUCCUAGUUCUGACCAUAAACGAUGCCAACUGACGAUCCGUGGUGGUAGUUCAUUAACCUUCCCCACGGGCAGCCCCCGGGAAACCUUUAAGUCUAUGGGUUCCGGGGGAAGUAUGGUUGCAAAGCUGAAACUUAAAGGAAUUGACGGAAGGGCACCACCAGGAGUGGAGCCUGCGGCUUAAUUUGACUCAACACGGGAAAACUCACCCGGGCCGGACACUGUGAGGAUUGACAGAUUGAAAGCUCUUUCUUGAUUUGGUGGUUGGUGGUGCAUGGCCGUUCUUAGUUGGUGGAGCGAUUUGUCUGGUUAAUUCCGAUAACGAACGAGACUCUAGCCUGCUAAUUAGUGCCCCUGUCCUCUGUAUCUGUGCGAGUGGCUGUCGUCAGUAUCGGCUUUCUAUGCUGGUCCGUGCAUAGCAUUGGUUCGUGGUCGAUAGUGGACUUUGACUAGUACAUUUGUUGAUGCGUUCAUCGUGUUGAUGGUGUCUAGUAAGGUUGCUAUCUGGCUUGGGCUGUUUGCUUUGUCGGUCUGGUUUAGUCGGUUUGUCGUGGUCUUCUUCCUGAUACGGCGCAGGUGUCUACUUCUUAGAGGGACAAGCAUAUACAAAUGCACGAGAUUGAGCAAUAACAGGUCUGUGAUGCCCUUAGAUGUCCGGGGCCGCACGCGCGCUACAAUGACGGUGCCAACGAGUCUGACCUCCUGGCCCGAAAGGGUUGGGCAAACUGGUCAAUCACCGUCAUGUCAGGGAUCGGGGCUUGGAAUUAUUCCCCGUGAACCAGGAAUUCCUAGUAAGUGCAAGUCAUAAGCUUGCGCUGAUUACGUCCCUGCCUUUGUACACACCGCCGUCGCUACUACCGAUUGAAUGGGUAA